RNAcentral lists this ribosomal RNA (440 nucleotides) under uncultured bacterium. Its description in RNAcentral is "partial 16S ribosomal RNA". It matches the Rfam family "Bacterial small subunit ribosomal RNA", at positions 338 to 795 of the family's 1533-position model. The record is from RNAcentral.
CCUACGGGAGGCAGCAGUGGGGGAUAUUGCACAAUGGGGGAAACCCUGAUGCAGCGACGCCGCGUGGGUGAAGAAGCGCCUCGGCGCGUACAGCCCUGUCAGCAGGGAAGAAAAUGACGGUACCUGAAGAAGAAGCCCCGGCUAACUACGUGCCAGCAGCCGCGGUAAUACGUAGGGGGCAAGCGUUAUCCGGAUUUACUGGGUGUAAAGGGGGCGCAGACGGCGAUGCAAGCCAGGAGUGAAAGCCCGGGGCCCAACCCCGGGACUGCUCUUGGAACUGCGUGGCUAGAGUGCAGGAGGGGCAGGCGGAAUGCCGGGUGUAGCGGUGAAAUGCGUAGAUAUCAGGAGGAACACCGGUGGCGAAGGCGGCCUGCUGGACUGCAACUGACGUUGAGGCCCGAAAGCGUGGGGAGCAAACAGGAUUAGAUACCCGGGUAGUC